Podarcis lilfordi (Lilford's wall lizard) is the source of this 142-nucleotide non-coding RNA. The record is from the annotation of a GenBank genome assembly. NCBI's taxonomy places the organism in Eukaryota, Metazoa, Chordata, Lepidosauria, Squamata, Lacertidae.
CUUCCAGUAGCACCUUAGAGACCAAGUAAGUUUGUUCUUGGUAUGAGCUUUCAUGUGCAUGCACACAGAUACCAAGUGUGCAUGCACAUGAAAAGCUCAUACCAAUAACAAACUUAGCUGGUCUCUAAGAUGCUACUGGAAG